This 287-nucleotide ribosomal RNA is filed under the name uncultured bacterium. RNAcentral's name for it is "partial 16S ribosomal RNA". It matches the Rfam family "Bacterial small subunit ribosomal RNA", at positions 773 to 1060 of the family's 1533-position model. The record is from RNAcentral.
GUGGAUUAGAUACCCGGGUAGUCCACGCCGUAAACGAUGGAUGCUAGCCGUUGGUAAGCAUGCUUAUCAGUGGCGCAGCUAACGCAUUAAGCGUCCCGCCUGGGGAGUACGGCCGCAAGGUUGAAACUCAAAGGAAUUGACGGGGGCCCGCACAAGCGGUGGAGCAUGUGGUUUAAUUCGACGCAACGCGCAGAACCUUACCAGGGUUUGACAUCCCGCGCUAAACUCAGAAAUGGGUGGUCCCCGCAAGGGGCGCGGAGACAGGUGCUGCAUGGUUGUCGCCAGCU